AUGGCGUCCAUGUCCCCGGUGACGCCCGCGGCGGCCGAGCCCAGGCGCUCCACGCGCCUGCUGUCCAACACCAAGCCGGCCGACGCCGACGCCGACGCCGACGCGGAGGCUGAGGUCGAGCGCGAGCGGUCGACGUCGCGCGGCGGCAAGCGCCGGCGCAAGGCGGCGGGGAAGGGCACCGGCGCCCGGAAGAGGGCGGCCAAGGGCAAGCGGAAGGAGCCGGAGUCGGCGGCGGGGGCGAUGGAGGUGGAGGAUGCCGGCAGCGGGAUCAACGGCGACGUGUACCCGGAGGAGCCCGACUCGGAGGAGAUGAAGUUGAUCGAGGAGGAGGAGCAGGCCGACCAUGGAGAGGAGGGGUCCGCGGAGACGCGUGGCGCCAGGAAGAGGGUGGCCCCGCCGCGCGCCCAGAGGAGGCCGGAAGCCUCGGCGGACCACUUCGUGGGCGAGCCCAUUCCGGAUGACAAGGCCAGGCGACUCUGGCCGAGCCGCUACGAAACCAAGGAUUCUGAUUCACGCUCUAGGCGAUCUAAUGAUCCGGAGGAGGAAAUUGGCGCUCAAUGCCACUACACAUCUGCAUGUGUGGAUGAUGCAAUCUUCAACCUCAAUGAUGAUGUCUAUGUGAAGGCUGGUCCCAAUGAGGAAAAUUACAUUGGCCGGAUUACAGAGUUUUUUGAAGGAACAGAUCAUGUUUUAUAUUUCACAUGCCGUUGGUUUUUCCGUGCUGAAGAUACGGUCAUCUCACCCAACUUGCUAGAGGUCCAUGAUCAUGAACAUGAUCAGAAGCGUGUUUUCCUUUCAGAGGAAAAGAAUGAUAACAUGAUUGAGUCAAUAAUUUCUAAACUAAAUAUCAUUUAUGUUGACCCAAGUAAGACACCUCAAGAAAGAGAUCAGUUAAUAUCAAAUUCUGAUUUGUAUUAUGACAUGUCGUACUCAGUUGCAUAUUCAACAUUUGCAAAUAUUCCAGCAGAAAACGAUGGUGCAACAGACAGUGAAGUGGCAUCAGAUAUUUCCUGUGAAGAGGGGAAACCAGUGGCUGACCCUGUGGGAUCAUCUGAUGCACGAAGGGAAACAGCAACUCUGCUGGAUCUUUACUCUGGAUGUGGUGCCAUGUCAACCGGGCUUUGCCUGGGUGCUGCAUUGUCCGGCAUCAAACUAAAUACUAAAUGGGCUGUAGACAUGAAUGAAUAUGCUUGCAACAGUCUAAAGCAUAACCAUCCUGGCACCCAGGUACGAAAUGAGAAGGCGGAAGAUUUUCUUGCGCUCCUCCAGCACUGGAAUGCACUCUGUCAGAAGUAUGUCGUCCACAGUAGCAACUCUUCUGGCUCUGACCUGGCUCAGAUGUCAAAUGAUGACGAAGAUGAUGAAAAUGAAGCUCUACCAAAUGAUCUAUUUGAGGUAGAGAGACUUCUUGAUAUAUGCUAUGGCGAUCCCAAUAAAACCGGAAAAGAUGGCCUGUGGUUCAAGGUGCGGUGGAAAACAUAUGAUCCUAGUCAUGACUCAUGGGAGCCAAUUGAUGGACUUAGCGAUUCCCCUGAGUGUAUUAAGGAAUUUGUUCAGAGAGGAUAUAGGGAAUCUAUUUUGCCCUUGCCUGGGUCUGUUGAUGUUAUCUGUGGGGGUCCUCCCUGUCAAGGCAUCAGUGGAUUGAACAGAUUCAGGAAUUACAAUGAGCCGCUGGAAGAUGAUAGAAACAAACAGUUGGUUGUCUUUAUGGAUGUUGUUAACUAUCUGCGACCUAAAUAUGUUCUGAUGGAAAACGUCGUAGACAUUCUAAAAUUUGCAGAUGGAUUCCUGGGGCGAUAUGCGCUUAGUCGUCUUGUCUCCAUGAGAUACCAAGCUAGGCUUGGAUUGAUGGUUGCAGGAUGUUAUGGGUUACCUCAAUUUAGGAUGCGGGCCUUUCUGUGGGGAGCUCUUCCUUCUCGGGUUCUCCCAAAAUUCCCGCUUCCGACCCAUGAUGUUGUUAAGCGAGGAGUCGUACCCAAUGCAUUUUCGCAAUGUCUCGUUGCAUACGAUGAAAUAGACGACAAACGUUUAAAGAAAGCUCUUGUCCUUCAAGAUGCACUAUCUGAUUUACCAAAGGUUCCAAACUAUCAACCUAAUGAUCUCAUGGAAAAUCGCAUUAACCCCAAAACAGAGUUCCAGCGCUACAUCCGGCUCAGCCGUAAAGACAUGGAGGAUUACUCAUUUGGAGAUGCUACUCCUAGUCCUAAGGCAUGUCAACUGUUUGAUCAUCAACCGCUAGAGUUAAGCACUGAUGAUUAUCAAAGAGUGAAGCAAAUUCCUUUUAGAAAGGGGGCCAACUUCCGUGAUUUGAAGGGUGUCCAGGUUGGGGAAAAUAACACUGUUGAGUUUAAUCCACACAUUCCUCGUGUGUUUCUGCCUUCUGGAAAACCUUUGGUGCCUUACUAUGCCAUGACCUACAUCAAGGGGAAAUCACCGAAACCAUUCGGACGCCUGUGGUGGGAUGAAACUGUUCCAACCGUUGUCACCAGAGCCGAGCCUCACAACCAAAUUAUCUUGCAUCCCAACCAGCAUCGAGUUCUGACUGUCCGUGAAAAUGCACGGUUACAAGGUUUUCCAGACUAUUACAGGCUCUUUGGCCCUAUAAAACAGAAAUAUAUUCAGGUUGGCAAUGCGGUUGCUGUUCCCGUUGCUCGAGCUCUGGGAUAUUCCCUUGGACAGGCUUACCGUGGUGCAUUGGUUGGAGGGCAGCCACUGUUCGAACUGCCUGAGAAUUUUGCUUCUGUGGGUCAAGCAGCAGCCACAGCAUCACCUGUAGGAGUAGUGGAGAAGUAG
RNAcentral lists this ribosomal RNA (2793 nucleotides) under Triticum aestivum (bread wheat). Its description in RNAcentral is "partial small subunit ribosomal RNA". The record is from RNAcentral. Lineage: Eukaryota; Viridiplantae; Streptophyta; Magnoliopsida; Poales; Poaceae.